AAAUUGAAGAGUUUGAUCAUGGCUCAGAUUGAACGCUGGCGGCAGGCCUAACACAUGCAAGUCGAACGGUAACAGGAAACAGCUUGCUGUUUCGCUGACGAGUGGCGGACGGGUGAGUAAUGUCUGGGAAACUGCCUGAUGGAGGGGGAUAACUACUGGAAACGGUAGCUAAUACCGCAUAACGUCGCAAGACCAAAGAGGGGGACCCUCGGGCCUCUUGCCAUCGGAUGUGCCCAGAUGGGAUUAGCUUGUUGGUGGGGUAACGGCUCACCAAGGCGACGAUCCCUAGCUGGUCUGAGAGGAUGACCAGCCACACUGGAACUGAGACACGGUCCAGACUCCUACGGGAGGCAGCAGUGGGGAAUAUUGCACAAUGGGCGCAAGCCUGAUGCAGCCAUGCCGCGUGUAUGAAGAAGGCCUUCGGGUUGUAAAGUACUUUCAGCGGGGAGGAAGGGAGUAAAGUUAAUACCUUUGCUCAUUGACGUUACCCGCAGAAGAAGCACCGGCUAACUCCGUGCCAGCAGCCGCGGUAAUACGGAGGGUGCAAGCGUUAAUCGGAAUUACUGGGCGUAAAGCGCACGCAGGCGGUUUGUUAAGUCAGAUGUGAAAUCCCCGGGCUCAACCUGGGAACUGCAUCUGAUACUGGCAAGCUUGAGUCUCGUAGAGGGGGGUAGAAUUCCAGGUGUAGCGGUGAAAUGCGUAGAGAUCUGGAGGAAUACCGGUGGCGAAGGCGGCCCCCUGGACGAAGACUGACGCUCAGGUGCGAAAGCGUGGGGAGCAAACAGGAUUAGAUACCCUGGUAGUCCACGCCGUAAACGAUGUCGACUUGGAGGUUGUGCCCUUGAGGCGUGGCUUCCGGAGCUAACGCGUUAAGUCGACCGCGACUGGGGAGUACGGCCGCAAGGUUAAAACUCAAAUGAAUUGACGGGGGCCCGCACAAGCGGUGGAGCAUGUGGUUUAAUUCGAUGCAACGCGAAGAACCUUACCUGGUCUUGACAUCCACGGAAGUUUUCAGAGAUGAGAAUGUGCCUUCGGGAACCGUGAGACAGGUGCUGCAUGGCUGUCGUCAGCUCGUGUUGUGAAAUGUUGGGUUAAGUCCCGCAACGAGCGCAACCCUUAUCCUUUGUUGCCAGCGGUCCGGCCGGGAACUCAAAGGAGACUGCCAGUGAUAAACUGGAGGAAGGUGGGGAUGACGUCAAGUCAUCAUGGCCCUUACGACCGUGGCUACACACGUGCUACAAUGGCGCAUACAAAGAGAAGCGACCUCGCGAGAGCAAGCGGACCUCAUAAAGUGCGUCGUAGUCCGGAUUGGAGUCUGCAACUCGACUCCAUGAAGUCGGAAUCGCUAGUAAUCGUGGAUCAGAAUGCCACGGUGAAUACGUUCCCGGGCCUUGUACACACCGCCCGUCACACCAUGGGAGUGGGUUGCAAAAGAAGUAGGUAGCUUAACCUUCGGGAGGGCGCUUACCACUUUGUGAUUCAUGACUGGGGUGAAGUCGUAACAAGGUAACCGUAGGGGAACCUGCGGUUGGAUCACCUCCUUACCUUAAAGAAGC
This 1556-nucleotide ribosomal RNA is filed under the name Escherichia coli. RNAcentral describes it as "bacterial SSU rRNA". It matches the Rfam family "Bacterial small subunit ribosomal RNA". The record is from RNAcentral. Lineage: Bacteria; Pseudomonadati; Pseudomonadota; Gammaproteobacteria; Enterobacterales; Enterobacteriaceae.